Cricetulus griseus (Chinese hamster) is the source of this 3937-nucleotide non-coding RNA. NCBI's taxonomy places the organism in Eukaryota, Metazoa, Chordata, Mammalia, Rodentia, Cricetidae. The record is from RefSeq and is a predicted model, not a curated record.
UCAGUGCAAUGUGGUUGGGGAGACUGAUGGACGGUUCGAAAGUUAUCUCAAGUCCUCAGAAAGCCAAGCCUUUGCAUGGCCAGCUCUGGGGUGCUAGAUGCAAGCAUUUCGACAGCUCGGAUAGGCAGGGAUUCUGACGCUCAGGAGCCAAAGAAUACUGAGUGGUACAGCUCGGAUGGAAAGGGAUUCUGGCACUGGGGAGCCAAGGAAUGCCACAGGUCACAUUAGUCAUGGUAACAUGACGCCACUCCCAAGUCCCAAGCCACCCACACCAAGGGACACAAUCACCAAUCUCUUGGCAUGAUCUAGAGCACUGAGGAAUCCAGGCCCCAAGCAAAAGGACCAAACCCACAGCAGAAAAGAGAGAAGAAGGAGGAGGAGGAGGAGGAAGAGGAGGAGGAGGAGGCAGCAGCAGCAGCAGCAGCAACCAGAUCAGGGUACGACUUUUCCAAAUUUUAUUAGUCUGGGUCCAGUCGAUGGACAGAAACUACACAGCAACACUUAUUUUACUCAAUAAUGGCUCCAAAGCCCAAGAGUAUGAAUGCAGAAGUGAAGCCGCAGUUCCUUUACUGGAACCCAUGUAUGUUCUCAAUAAGAAUGGGGGAGAGUCAUAUACUGAGGUUACUAUGCUGUGUAAAAAGUUGCUGUUAGACUUUUAGGGAGUUUAUAAGCUUCAGCACAGGUAUAUAUGUAUAUAGGAAAACCUAACACAGAGUUAAGUACUAUACAGGACUUCAGAUAUCCACUAGGGGCCUUGGGAUGUACCCCACACAUAUAAUGGACUGUUUUAACAAUGUUUCUCAUCCACAUCUACGUUUUUAAGAAAAAUAGCACAGAAUAUAUUUUGCCACAACAUAGAGCCACCAAUUGGUUACAUUUAUUUGGAAUCUUUAUUUUUAAUGAAAAGUAGAUAUUUAGAUAUAAAACUGGAGUAGCAUUUAAUUUCUCUGCUUUGUCACAUUUCAUUUCUAUAAAACUCCAUUCUUACUAUAACAGCAGCAGCCACUUUUUGGGAACUAAAUACACAUUCUCCCAAUUCUAGCUGUAGAGAAAAGUGUUUCCCAUAAGCAAUGCUUAGUUAGACAAAUGGAUUUUACUCAAAUUUACACAGGAAUCAUGACAAUAUAUCCAUCAAUUCCAUUGUCUCCAUGCUGAUUUUUUUCUUCUCCUUUUUUCCUUUCGUGUUAACAUGGAUGUAGCCUGCUGUGCUUAGCUGCUAGAGUAUUCUACUGUAUGACUUACAUUUUAUUCAUCUGCUUCAUAAUCAGCAAACACCUGUGCCCGUUUUUGUUCCCAUAAUUGGUGCUGCAAUGAACAGACCGACUGGUACAUGACUCCCUAAGUAAGCCUAUCAGUUUCUUGACAAGUACAAAUGCUCAAGAGUGACAGCUGAGGGCUCUAGAAUCUACAAUCUCUCUCCUACUCAAGUCUCAGAAACCAUCAUCCUCUUAGAAAUUUUAUACAAAGCUUUGAUUUCUGCAAAGACACUGGAUUCCUAAGAAAUACUUCAAUAACUGAGGACAUCAGAGGUCUGUUAUUUUCCCCCAAAAGUUAAUUAUCCUGAGAUUAUGUUUUAAGUCAUCCAUGAUUUCUGGCAGUAUCAAUUACCAAUCCCCCAUGAAUUCAUCCACGUUUCUAGAUUCACUAUUCUGUCCUGACCUCAACUUUAUACAGCUCUACCAACAAAGACUUCUGAGCAGGCAUGGAGCUGUACGCUUGCAAUUGCAGCACUGGGAGACGGAGUAAGAGCAUCACCAGAAGCCUGAGGCCAGCUUGGGCUACACAGUGAGUUUAAGGUCACCCUGGGCUAUGUACAUAGGGAGACUCUGUCCCAAAAUGCCUUUUUGGGACAAUGAUUUUCACAAAUUAUCCAAAUAGCAAAGCAUAUAUCAAAAAUAUUUUUGCCUCUUAAUUUCAAACCUUUAUAUUGCUCAUAUUAUCUUGAUAUACUUGAUAAGCUUUCUAAGACUCUGCUAACUGGACUCUUAAGUUCAUUGAGAAGGGUCCUAAAAUUAAAAUACUGUUUGAGAGUCUGGGAAGUGUAUAACAUACUGUAAUACAUCUUACUAAAUAUCUUUCUUUGUACUUUCAGCUUUGAGUCCCUACGGAAGGACUUCCUACACUUGUAUAAAUUUAACGUAAGACGAAUCUUCUGAUAUAUUACUAACCAUACAUUCUGCUCAGGCGUUCCUAAAUCUAAGGCGUUUAUAGAGUUCUAGUGAAUAUGGAUUUUCUGGUGUCUGAUGUGGUGUGACUUCUGGCUGAAAGCUUUGCCACACUCACUGCACUGGUAAGGCUUCUCGCCAGUGUGGAUCCUCAUGUGCAAAGCAAGAGUUGAGAACUGAGAAAAGGCCUUCCCGCAUUCGCUGCAACCGUAGGGCUUCUCACCGGUGUGGCUCCUCAGGUGCACUGUAAGGGAUGAACUCUGACAGAAGGCUUUCCCACAGAUUUUACAUUCGUACGGUUUAUCGCCUGUAUGAAUCCGCACAUGCACGAUGAGUGACGUAAUCCGGGAGAAGGCUUUCCCACAUUUAUUACAUUCAUAGGGCUUUUCACCCGUGUGGAUAUUGUGAUGUUUGAUGAGGUACUGCUUCUGCCUGAAAAUCGUUCCGCACUCGUUACAUUUAUAGGGUUUCUCUCCAAUGUGAAUCUUCUCAUGCUCAGUGAGGUUUGAUUUGCCACUGAAGGCUUUCCCACACUCCUUGCACGUGUAAGGAUUCUCUCCAGUGUGACUUCUCUGGUGCCUGAUGAGGCUUGACUUCUGAAUGAAGGCCUUCCCGCAUCCUUUACAUUCAUAAGGUUUCUCCCCAGUGUGGAUCCUCUGGUGUAUAAUCAGGUUUUCCUUCUGGCUGAACGCCUUACCGCACUCAUUACAUUUAAAAGGUUUCUUUCCACUAUGGAUGUUCUGAUGUUUAAUGAGGUACUGCUUCUGGCUGAAGGCUCUUCCACACUGAUUACAUUCAAAUGGCUUCUCUCCAGUAUGAAUUUUCUCAUGUUCUUUGAGAUAUGAUUUGCCAUUAAAAGCUUUCCCACAUUCCUUACAUGCAAAUGGUUUGUUUCCAGCGUUUGUCUGAUUUUUGACGAGGGGUGUCAUCGGAAUGGACGUUUUCUCCGAGUCACAGGGUUUCUCUUCGGUGUGUUGUUUCUGGUGAGAAAGGAAGUUACCUCUCUGGCUGAAGGCUUUUCCACAUUUGCUAUAUCUACAUGACUUCCUCCGUGCAUGACUCCUCAAAUGCAGGGUAAGUGAUGAGACUCGGGAAAACGAUUUGCCACAUUCUGGACAUUCAUGGGACUUCUCCCCACUAUGCGUUUUCUUGUGUUCUACAAAGGUUUGUUUGAGGCUAAAGGUUUCGCUACAUUCAUUACAUUCAUAAAGUUUCUCUCCAGGACUGAGUUCAUCAUGCAGAAGACCUGACUCAGGGUGAAGACUUUCCAACAUUCCGUUCCGUACAAGGAUUUUCUCCCUAGCCUCUACUGAGCGAGGAUGAAAGCUUUUCCGAAUUCACAAUAAACGCAUAGGAAUUUCUUUUCAGUCUUAAUUCACAAGAAUCUAAUGAAACUGAAUUAUAAUGAGACUUUUACGUGAGUACAAGAAGGGACUGACAUACAGCACAGCCUUUAUAUUAAUGGUUCUUUCUGACAGUUUCUCUCAUUUUCAUAAGUAAAUUAUGAAUGUAGGCAAAUUAACUUCAAAUUUUCUUCAACUGAGUCUCAUAUACAAUGUCUGUGCCCAGAGGAAAUACUUUGUCUCCUAGCUUUUCCUAAGAGAUGAGACAACUCACAAGUCUUUCAUCCUGUGUCCUUCUCUGUGUAUAAACUCCAGACACUGUUUCUGAAAGAGAACAACAAGUUACAAAAAGAAUUAACAAGGGUAAAAAUGUUGGUGUCUGGAAUGUAGUAAGUAUCCAAUAAAUUACCUUAUCAAUAAGAUCCUUAA